This 567-nucleotide long non-coding RNA is filed under the name Marmota monax (woodchuck). The record is from RNAcentral. Lineage: Eukaryota; Metazoa; Chordata; Mammalia; Rodentia; Sciuridae.
AACCAGUUCAAGAUCAGAAGAAAAAUGUCACUUUUAAAUCCAAGCUGUUGUGGGACAUAAAUGACUGCUCUAUCUGUUCUUGUACUCUGGGAUUCUGCUGUCACAGUAAGUUCCUCCCUAAAUGUUAGAGAACAGGAGAGAUAAAUGGAGGAGAUCUGGAAAGGCUGGCUAUGCCAUAUCCUGGAAUUUUGAGGACUCUUUAAGAGGUCUACAUUUUGUUUUGGGAAUAAUGCAGCAGGUGUUACCUCAAAUCACAGAGACUCAGCUUCAGGGAGCUGAUUGGAUAGGCCUGGGAAGGUCAGGGGAUGCCCUACUUCUUGCAGGGUUUCCUCUUCUCUCCAGUUGGGCACAGAGAAGGAAAAUGGAAAGAUCCCAUAUGUACAAGUCUUUUUUACCUUGAGAACUUGUUCCUGAGGACCUCAUGGACUCCCAAGACCUUUAAAUAUCUGGACUGACUCUAAUAGGAUCCAAAAAUGCAUUCUGGCCUAAUAUAGAUAUUCCAUGUUCUCCUUUACUAGAGUAAUUAUGGCUAUCCAUUUUCCCCCCAGAAUUUCUGUCUUUUUUGAG